UCCUUGGUGGUCCAGUUGUUAGGACUCUGCACUUUCACUGCAGAGGGCAAAGGGUUCAAUCCCUGGUUGGGGAA
Molecule: transfer RNA, 74 nt
Filed under: Capra hircus (goat)
Lineage: Eukaryota; Metazoa; Chordata; Mammalia; Artiodactyla; Bovidae
Also listed under: 1 other name
Rfam family: tRNA
About the family: Transfer RNA (tRNA) molecules are approximately 80 nucleotides in length. Their secondary structure includes four short double-helical elements and three loops (D, anti-codon, and T loops).
Source: Rfam by way of RNAcentral